This 254-nucleotide ribosomal RNA is filed under the name uncultured bacterium. Its description in RNAcentral is "partial 16S ribosomal RNA". It matches the Rfam family "Bacterial small subunit ribosomal RNA", at positions 524 to 776 of the family's 1533-position model. The record is from RNAcentral.
UACGUAGGGGGCGAGCGUUGUCCUGAUUUAUUGGGCGUAAAGAGCUCGUAGGCGGUUUGGUAAGUCGGAUGUGAAAUCUCCAGGCUCAACCUGGAGGGGUCAUUCGAGACUGCUAUGACUAGAGUUCGGUAGAGGAGUGUGGAAUUCCUGGUGGAGCGGUGAAAUGCGCAGAUAUCAGGAGGAACACCCGUAGUGAAGGCGGCACUCUGGGCCGAUACUGACGCUGAGGAGCGAAAGCGUGGGGAGCGAACAGG